This is a small nuclear RNA of Capsicum annuum, 162 nucleotides long. RefSeq annotates it as U1 spliceosomal RNA. The transcript has a single exon. The record is from RefSeq and is a predicted model, not a curated record. Lineage: Eukaryota; Viridiplantae; Streptophyta; Magnoliopsida; Solanales; Solanaceae.
AUUCCUAAGUGGACUCUAAUAAUUUAAAACUAUUAAAAGUAUCUAUUCUUACUUUAUUUCUGAGACAUAUCUUCAACAGGGUACUUGCCUAAGGUCGGCUCAAGUGGCUGAGCCUACGUCAUAAUUUGUGGCAGCAGGGGCCUGCGUUCGCGCGGCCCCUAC